This 398-nucleotide ribosomal RNA is filed under the name uncultured bacterium. Its description in RNAcentral is "bacterial SSU rRNA". It matches the Rfam family "Bacterial small subunit ribosomal RNA", at positions 954 to 1375 of the family's 1533-position model. The record is from RNAcentral.
GCAAAACGCGAAGAACCUUACCACCUUUUGACAUGCCUGGACCGCCACAGAGAUGUGGCUUUCCCUUCGGGGACUAGGACACAGGUGCUGCGUGGCUGUCGUCAGCUCGUGUCGUGAGAUGUUGGGUUAAGUCCCGCAACGAGCGCAACCCUCGCCAUUAGUUGCCAUCAUUCAGUUGGGAACUCUAAUGGGACUGCCGGUGCUAAGCCGGAGGAAGGUGGGGAUGACGUCAAGUCCUCAUGGCCCUUACAGGGUGGGCUACACACGUGCUACAAUGGCGACUACAGAGGGUUAAUCCUUAAAAGUCGUCUCAGUUCGGAUUGUCCUCUGCAACUCGAGGGCAUGAAGUUGGAAUCGCUAGUAAUCGCGGAUCAGCAUGCCGCGGUGAAUACGUUCCC